Molecule: ribosomal RNA, 576 nt
Filed under: Nitzschia sp. CCMP1698
Lineage: Eukaryota; Bacillariophyta; Bacillariophyceae; Bacillariales; Bacillariaceae
Description: eukaryotic LSU rRNA
Rfam family: Eukaryotic large subunit ribosomal RNA
Source: RNAcentral
AUGCAAAGAACUUUGAAAAGAGAGUUAAAGAGUGCCUGAAAUUGCUGAAAGGGAAGCGAAGGAAACCAGUGUUUGCCUGGUCAUAUUUCCCUGGUUGCUUGCAACUUGGGCGCUGUGUCCGGCUUUGGUUGUGCUUGGUUGGGAUUCUUGGAAGGGCGCGUAGGGAGUUGACCUGCGUUGCCGGCAUUGAAUCUUGACCGAGCAGGACGAAAUGGUUUUCUUUACCCCGUCUUGAAACACGGACCAAGGAGUCUAACAUAUGUGCGAGUACAGGGGUGGCAAACCCCCGUGCGCAAUGAAAGUGACAGUGGUUGGAUCUUUGCACAAUCCGCCGGCCUCAAUCCCUCGGGAGAACGGUCUGAGUGUGAGCAUACAUGUUGGGACCCGAAAGAUGGUGAACUAUGCCUGAAUAGGGUGAAGCCAGGGGAAACUCUGGUGGAGGCUCGUAGCGAUUCUGACGUGCAAAUCGAUCGUCAAAUUUGGGUAUAGGGGCGAAAGACUAAUCGAACGAUACUAGUAGCUGGUUCCCUCCGAAAUUUCCCUCAGGAUAGCUGCGAUCGGAGUUCAAUUUUAUCA